UAUAUUUAAGAGAUCCUGAUAGUUUGAGAUUUUCUGAAUGUGUUUUCUGAUGAACUUCCCAGAGCACCAGUAGACAAGGAAGUUGAGUUCACCAUAAACCUUCAGUCUGGCACACAACCUAUCUCAGUUUUCUCUUACCACAUAAGUCGUGUUGAGAUGGAGGAGCUGAAGAAACAUAUCAAUGAAUUAUAAGAUAGUGAAUUCAUC
RNAcentral lists this long non-coding RNA (207 nucleotides) under Carica papaya (papaya). RNAcentral's name for it is "long non-coding RNA (CPAP_LNC001645)". The record is from RNAcentral. Lineage: Eukaryota; Viridiplantae; Streptophyta; Magnoliopsida; Brassicales; Caricaceae.